This is a long non-coding RNA of Vespula pensylvanica (western yellowjacket), 1833 nucleotides long. RefSeq lists it as uncharacterized. The transcript is spliced from 3 exons. Lineage: Eukaryota; Metazoa; Arthropoda; Insecta; Hymenoptera; Vespidae. The record is from RefSeq and is a predicted model, not a curated record.
UUUAAUUAAAGAGCGUUUUCCGUGAUACAGAAUUUAGAGUAGUGAUAUUGUGCGUUUCUAGUUCAUAUCGUAUUAUGAACAACUUUGCGUUCUAAGAUUUCGAUAAUAAAUCGUUCGAAUUUGCGUCAGAGUAGUAAUGCCGUUUCACGAUCGUCAUCUUCCUUGUCGUCAAGAGAAAGGAACCUCGUUGAAAGGAAAAAGAAGGAAGAAAGUUGUAAAAAGAAAACUGUGCUGCGUUGGAAGGGACGUAGUAACAGUUAUGUCGAAGAAGAAGAAGAAGGUAAGGCUGCGAGGGUGGGCUUUAUUAUGUCUGAGGAGGAGUCACGCGAGUAAGAAGCUAAGGAGAGAUAUAGCUUAAGCCGAGGACAAAAACUAGAACGGGGGUUUGCCUUCAGUGUCUUUUGCACGAGGGAUACGGGAUCACAUAAAGGGUUUUAUUAUGUCUCCCUUUUUCUCCCUUUCUGAGAAACCACAACGAAGAGCUAGCGGCUAACAAUAAGAGCGACACGUGCGCUCGUACACGCUACGUGCUCUUCUCGAUGAUUCGCGUAGAAAAUAUGUCCCCUUGGGAUUCGCAGAAAAACGGCUAAUCUUUGAAGACACCAAUUAAUGUAUUCGUUCGUAUUAAUAUCGUCGAUGAAUCGAAUUAAAGCCGCACCCCUCAUCGCCUAGCAUGGAAAUGAAAUUUCCAACACGGUAAUCCCCACUAAUAUUCAGAGAGUAACUAAAAUAACGCAACGAUGUCAUUGUCCCUUCGAGCCAACCGAUAUCGAUUGAUUCGAGUUAUCGUGGAAUCUCCUCUCGCUACCGACAUAUCCAUCACCUCUUCGAGCCGCGUAAAUAAAUUACGUUCGCGUGACAUUUACCUUCUAUGCUGGCACAGCUUUACCUUCGAUCCUUCUUUCACUCUUCCUCCCUUUUUAUCCUCUCCGCUUCUUCCUCUCAUUGCCUCUUACGAAAAAGAAACUUUUAUAAAAGAUAUGUUUUUCCUUCUCAAAGAGACGAAAACGUAGAGCCUCACGUGGUCACUCAAAGAGCUUUCCCAUGUGUGAAUAAAUCCAAGAAAAAGAGAUGGUUAUGUCAAACAGAUGGAAGAAAGAAAAGGAAGGCGAAACGAGUGCAGUCGAGAGGCAGUGAAUCGUCCUGUGGCAACCUCUUCGAUGGCGUAUUACCAACAUAAGCCUCGGACGAAUGUCCUUUUGAUUGCCAGCCCGUUAAGAAGGAUGAUACGUUUCCUUUUGAAUUCGCCAUGUUGCUGAGGUCCUACUUUCAACGUUGAACAAACAGUCGCAACGAUCUAUUUUAUAUUAUACUCGGCAUUUAAUGGGAAAGAAGUAUGCGCACUAUACUAUUAUAUAUAAUGUCGUUUUCUUGUACGAAGUACGCGCGUACAAUAAAAUUUGGACGGACGAGAUGAAAGGCGUGACGAGGUUAGGAACGGGAGAAGGGAGAGAAUAAUUUCAAAAUGGUAAGCGAACCUGCCGGCGUAUAGUUUAACGACGCGUCUGCGAGCGCGAUACUAAUGAUAAUUUUCUCUGAAUUCCAGCAGGUAAUAUACCUUCUAUAAUAGCGAACGUAAUAUAGUCUUGUCAGACUACAAAGAGAAACAGAUCAAGAAUAAAGGGGACGGACAAGGUGUGUGGCCGACAAAAAGACAGAAAUGGUAUUAGAUUCAUAUUUGAUUAACUUGGCUCUUCGUGAAAUUGACCGAUAGAUUAGAGAUUGAUGUUUGAAAUGAUUGACUGUUUCUCUUUAAACGUGUUUAUCAAACAAUAAUCACGUCGAAUUAUGAACGUUCUGAGUCGUAUCAUCUAUCGGUCAUUCUGUUAUGUA